GUGGGGAAUCUUGCGCAAUGGGCGAAAGCCUGACGCAGCCAUGCCGCGUGAAUGAUGAAGGUCUUAGGAUUGUAAAAUUCUUUCACCGGGGACGAUAAUGACGGUACCCGGAGAAGAAGCCCCGGCUAACUUCGUGCCAGCAGCCGCGGUAAUACGAAGGGGGCUAGCGUUGCUCGGAUUUACUGGGCGUAAAGGGCGCGUAGGCGGACAUUUAAGUCAGGGGUGAAAUCCCGGGGCUCAACCUCGGAACUGCCUUUGAUACUGGGUGUCUUGAGUAUGAGAGAGGUGUGUGGAACUCCGAGUGUAGAGGUGAAAUUCGUAGAUAUUCGGAAGAACACCAGUGGCGAAGGCGACACACUGGCUCAUUACUGACGCUGAGGCGCGAAAGCGUGGGGAGCAAACAGGAUUAGAAACCCGGGUAGUCC
RNAcentral lists this ribosomal RNA (425 nucleotides) under uncultured bacterium. Its description in RNAcentral is "partial 16S ribosomal RNA". It matches the Rfam family "Bacterial small subunit ribosomal RNA", at positions 354 to 796 of the family's 1533-position model. The record is from RNAcentral.